GAUGAACGCUGGCGGCGUGCUUAACACAUGCAAGUCGAACGAAGCACUUUAUUUGAUUUCCUCCGGGGAUGAAGAUUUUGUGACUGAGUGGCGGACGGGUGAGUAACGCGUGGGCAACCUGCCCCAUACCGGGGGAUAACAGCUGGAAACGGCUGCUAAUACCGCAUAAGCGCACAGUGCUGCAUGGCACAGUGUGAAAAACUCCGGUGGUAUGGGAUGGACCCGCGUCUGAUUAGCCAGUUGGCAGGGUAACGGCCUACCAAAGCGACGAUCAGUAGCCGACCUGAGAGGGUGACCGGCCACAUUGGGACUGAGACACGGCCCAAAACUCCUACGGGAGGCAGCAGUGGGGAAUAUUGCACAAUGGGGGAAACCCUGAUGCAGCGACGCCGCGUGAGCGAAGAAGUAUUUCGGUAUGUAAAGCUCUAUCAGCAGGAAGAAAAAAUGACGGUACCUGACUAAGAAGCACCGGCUAAAUACGUGCCAGCAGCCGACGG
Molecule: ribosomal RNA, 497 nt
Filed under: uncultured bacterium
Lineage: Bacteria
Description: bacterial SSU rRNA
Rfam family: Bacterial small subunit ribosomal RNA
Source: RNAcentral